This 576-nucleotide ribosomal RNA is filed under the name Paratrichodorus porosus. Its description in RNAcentral is "eukaryotic LSU rRNA". The stretch from base 479 to 576 matches the Rfam family "Eukaryotic large subunit ribosomal RNA", at positions 1 to 98 of the family's 3401-position model. Lineage: Eukaryota; Metazoa; Nematoda; Enoplea; Triplonchida; Trichodoridae. The record is from RNAcentral.
AUCGAUGAAGAACGCAGCUAGCUGCGAGAAUUAAUGUGAAUUGCAGACACAUUGAACAUCGACAUUUCGAACGCAUAUUGCGGAAGUGGGUUUUUCCCACUUCCAGGUUCUCUUGACGGCGUCAUUCAGUGAGAGCAUAUACCAUUGCCAAACGCAGCAUGCUUCGGCGUGACCAAAAGCUGAGUGGUUCGCACUGUUGUGCACGACAUGAACCCAGCUGAUCGUUACUGCCUGCUGUGUUUAUCGCUUUGGUGAUUUGGGUUGCUGCAGCAUUUGUUGUACCAGCCUUGAGUUCAGAGUUGUCAGGGACUUAUUGUCUGACAAAUUAUUGCAGCGUGACGAAGCAUCGUCUAGCAAGAGCAAACGUACUGCACUUUUGCUGUUAGCAUCGACAACCGUUCUUGGCAUCCAAGGCGGCGCAGAAGUGUUUGUACACGCAUUCCUCUUCUAGCCAAAGCAACAGAUCGCCUCUAAUCUUACGCGUCAAGUAGAGCCUGAACACUCGCUUAAUUUAAGCAUAUUAGUAAGCGAAGGAAAAGAAACUAACAAGGAUUUCCUUAGUAACGGCGAGUGAAA